UAUAAUUUCAACUAUUACUCUCAUACACAAAUUUCCAUAAAAUUUUCAUGAAGCACAGAUUCUUAAAUUAUUUUCGAUCACUUAUUGAUCGUAACUCGCUCGUCAUUGAUAUUCCGCUCAUACGAUUUUUAUAACCUCUUCAAAUAGCUCCUAAAAGUUACGAUCCCCUUAUCGCAUGGAUUUCCAGAUCGAUUCUGCAAACUUAAGGACAUUGUCUUCGAAAGGUUAAGAAGAAGAUAUUCCUUUGAUCCCAUCUUGAUGAUGUCGUAAGAGACGUCACGGAAGAUUGUACUUACAACCUCUUCGCGGUAAAAGCGACGGUAUUAAGGCUUACGAGAGGAGGAGAGGCACGGGUUGGCGGAAGCAAUAGAAACGAGGGUGGAAAAAAAGCAGCUGUUUGCACUGCAGCUUCAUCCACUACACAGUCAAUUGUAGCUGCUGUUUACUUGGUGCAUCCAGGGGGAUGAUCAUCGAACCCCUAUUUUUUAUUUGUCAGCUUUUUUGUUUCAUUCUCUUUGAUUCGCGAUUCUGUUUUCACGGGAAGGGGACAAUCUGAUUACAUGACGAAAGAUUUUUAACCUUUUCCGAAUUAUUUUGGCGAAACGAUUACUUUCUUUUAAUUAUUUUUUUUUUAAAUUGAAAAUUAUAUUCAUUUCGGAUGAAUUAUAUUUAUUCUG
Megachile rotundata (alfalfa leafcutting bee) is the source of this 677-nucleotide long non-coding RNA. The record is from RefSeq and is a predicted model, not a curated record. Lineage: Eukaryota; Metazoa; Arthropoda; Insecta; Hymenoptera; Megachilidae.